Molecule: ribosomal RNA, 186 nt
Filed under: Amanita pallidorosea
Lineage: Eukaryota; Fungi; Basidiomycota; Agaricomycetes; Agaricales; Amanitaceae
Description: partial 28S ribosomal RNA
Rfam family: Eukaryotic large subunit ribosomal RNA
Source: RNAcentral
UGACCUCAAAUCAGGUAGGACUACCCGCUGAACUUAAGCAUAUCAAUAAGCGGAGGAAAAGAAACUAACAAGGAUUCCCCUAGUAACUGCGAGUGAAGCGGGAAAAGCUCAAAUUUAAAAUCUGGCAGAUUUUUGUCUGUCCGAGUUGUAACCUAGAGAAGUGUAACCUGUGCUGGACCGUGUACA